AAAGUCCUGAGAUGUUCGUCAUUAACCGAAACGUUUUGACCGAACAGCUAUAUUUAGGGGAGCUUGAAGUUUCCAAGCAGCGUACAGGCCUCUCGUUAGAGGAAGUAUAAAACUUGGAACAGGGCACCCACCUGCCGAGAGCGGGUUCAAAACUAAGGAUUUAAUAAUGACGGCAUUGCGGGACUUAC
RNAcentral lists this non-coding RNA (188 nucleotides) under Sutcliffiella tianshenii. RNAcentral's name for it is "Bacillus tianshenii 6S RNA". It matches the Rfam family "6S / SsrS RNA". From Rfam's summary of the family: E. coli 6S RNA was the first non coding RNA to be sequenced, but its function was unknown until recently. It consists of 184 nucleotides that fold into an extended hairpin structure with a large single-stranded internal bulge. The 6S RNA specifically associates with RNA polymerase holoenzyme containing the sigma70 specificity factor. Lineage: Bacteria; Bacillati; Bacillota; Bacilli; Caryophanales; Bacillaceae. The record is from RNAcentral.